This 254-nucleotide ribosomal RNA is filed under the name uncultured bacterium. Its description in RNAcentral is "partial 16S ribosomal RNA". It matches the Rfam family "Bacterial small subunit ribosomal RNA", at positions 524 to 776 of the family's 1533-position model. The record is from RNAcentral.
CACGUAGGCACCAAGCGUUGUCCGGAUUUAUUGGGCGUAAAGAGCUCGUAGGCGGUUCAGUAAGUCGGGUGUGAAAACUCUGGGCUCAACCCAGAGACGCCACCCGAUACUGCUGUGACUUGAGUACGGUAGGGGAGUGGGGAAUUCCUGGUGUAGCGGUGAAAUGCGCAGAUAUCAGGAGGAACACCAAUGGCGAAGGCAGCUCGCUGGGACGUGACUGACGCUGAGACGCGAAAGCGUGGGGAGCAAACAGG